Molecule: ribosomal RNA, 1437 nt
Filed under: Salmonella enterica subsp. enterica serovar Typhimurium
Lineage: Bacteria; Pseudomonadati; Pseudomonadota; Gammaproteobacteria; Enterobacterales; Enterobacteriaceae
Description: partial 23S ribosomal RNA
Rfam family: Bacterial large subunit ribosomal RNA
Source: RNAcentral
GAAAAAGAACCUGAAACCGUGUACGUACAAGCAGUGGGAGCACAGGUUUACCUGUGUGACUGCGUACCUUUUGUAUAAUGGGUCAGCGACUUAUAUUCUGUAGCAAGGUUAACCGUAUAGGGGAGCCGUAGGGAAACCGAGUCUUAACCGGGCGUUAAGUUGCAGGGUAUAGACCCGAAACCCGGUGAUCUAGCCAUGGGCAGGUUGAAGGUUGGGUAACACUAACUGGAGGACCGAACCGACUAAUGUUGAAAAAUUAGCGGAUGACCUGUGGCUGGGGGUGAAAGGCCAAUCAAACCGGGAGAUAGCUGGUUCUCCCCGAAAGCUAUUUAGGUAGCGCCUCGUGAAUUCAUCUCCGGGGGUAGAGCACUGUUUCGGCUAGGGGGCCAUCCCGGCUUACCAACCCGAUGCAAACUGCGAAUACCGGAGAAUGUUAUCACGGGAGACACACGGCGGGUGCUAACGUCCGUCGUGAAGAGGGAAACAACCCAGACCGCCAGCUAAGGUCCCAAAGUCAUGGUUAAGUGGGAAACGAUGUGGGAAGGCCCAGACAGCCAGGAUGUUGGCUUAGAAGCAGCCAUCAUUUAAAGAAAGCGUAAUAGCUCACUGGUCGAGUCGGCCUGCGCGGAAGAUGUAACGGGGCUAAACCAUGCACCGAAGCUGCGGCAGCGAACGUAUCACCCAAGACAACUUUACGGAGUUGACGAUUGACGGAGCGAAGCGACGUCAAAGCGUUCAUUAAAGUCGAGUUGGCUUAGGGAUACGUUCGUUGGGUAGGGGAGCGUUCUGUAAGCCUGUGAAGGUGUGUCGUGAGGCAUGCUGGAGGUAUCAGAAGUGCGAAUGCUGACAUAAGUAACGAUAAAGCGGGUGAAAAGCCCGCUCGCCGGAAGACCAAGGGUUCCUGUCCAACGUUAAUCGGGGCAGGGUGAGUCGACCCCUAAGGCGAGGCCGAAAGGCGUAGUCGAUGGGAAACGGGUUAAUAUUCCCGUACUUGGUGUUACUGCGAAGGGGGGACGGAGAAGGCUAUGUUGGCCGGGCGACGGUUGUCCCGGUUUAAGCGUGUAGGUGUGUGUUCCAGGUAAAUCCGGUUCACUUUAACACUGAGGCGUGACGACGAGGCACUACGGUGCUGAAGCAACAAAUGCCCUGCUUCCAGGAAAAGCCUCUAAGCAUCAGGUAACACGAAAUCGUACCCCAAACCGACACAGGUGGUCAGGUAGAGAAUACCAAGGCGCUUGAGAGAACUCGGGUGAAGGAACUAGGCAAAAUGGUGCCGUAACUUCGGGAGAAGGCACGCUGACACGUAGGUGAAGUGAUUUACUCAUGGAGCUGAAGUCAGUCGAAGAUACCAGCUGGCUGCAACUGUUUAUUAAAAACACAGCACUGUGCAAACACGAAAGUGGACGUAUACGGUGUGACGCCUGCCCGGUGCCGGAA